RNAcentral lists this ribosomal RNA (405 nucleotides) under uncultured Rhodopila sp. RNAcentral's name for it is "bacterial SSU rRNA". It matches the Rfam family "Bacterial small subunit ribosomal RNA", at positions 354 to 776 of the family's 1533-position model. Lineage: Bacteria; Pseudomonadati; Pseudomonadota; Alphaproteobacteria; Acetobacterales; Acetobacteraceae. The record is from RNAcentral.
GUGGGGAAUAUUGGACAAUGGGCGCAAGCCUGAUCCAGCAAUGCCGCGUGUGUGAAGAAGGUCUUCGGAUUGUAAAGCACUUUCGGCGGGGACGAUGAUGACGGUACCCGCAGAAGAAGCCCCGGCUAACUUCGUGCCAGCAGCCGCGGUAAUACGAAGGGGGCUAGCGUUGCUCGGAAUGACUGGGCGUAAAGGGCGCGUAGGCGGUUCACGCAGUCAGAUGUGAAAUUCCCGGGCUUAACCUGGGGGCGGCAUUUGAGACGCGGGAACUUGAGUGGGGAAGAGGGUCGUGGAAUUCCCAGUGUAGAGGUGAAAUUCGUAGAUAUUGGGAAGAACACCGGUGGCGAAGGCGGCGACUUGGUCCUUGACUGACGCUGAGGCGCGAAAGCGUGGGGAGCAAACAGG